UAAAAUAAUGGUUCUCUAGGUUGAGUUUUAAAUCUUUUUUAAGGUUUAAAAUUCCUUGGAGAAUUCCAAUCAACCCUUUGUGCACUGUAAAUGUUUUUUCGAGUACUUUUUAAAAGUGCUCGACAAUAUUUAAAACCCCAUUUUUAAUUUUGUCUGAAUUUUUUAUGAAAAUAAAAAAAUA
This 181-nucleotide unclassified non-coding RNA is filed under the name uncultured fungus. Its description in RNAcentral is "sequence contains ITS1". The record is from RNAcentral. Lineage: Eukaryota; Fungi.